AAAUUGAAGAGUUUGAUCAUGGCUCAGAUUGAACGCUGGCGGCAGGCCUAACACAUGCAAGUCGAACGGUAACAGGAAGCAGCUUGCUGCUUUGCUGACGAGUGGCGGACGGGUGAGUAAUGUCUGGGAAACUGCCUGAUGGAGGGGGAUAACUACU
Molecule: ribosomal RNA, 157 nt
Filed under: Escherichia coli
Lineage: Bacteria; Pseudomonadati; Pseudomonadota; Gammaproteobacteria; Enterobacterales; Enterobacteriaceae
Also listed under: 6 other names
Description: partial 16S ribosomal RNA
Rfam family: Bacterial small subunit ribosomal RNA
Source: RNAcentral